RNAcentral lists this transfer RNA (71 nucleotides) under Leptolyngbya sp. Its description in RNAcentral is "tRNA-Gln". It matches the Rfam family "tRNA". From Rfam's summary of the family: Transfer RNA (tRNA) molecules are approximately 80 nucleotides in length. Their secondary structure includes four short double-helical elements and three loops (D, anti-codon, and T loops). Further hydrogen bonds mediate the characteristic L-shaped molecular structure. tRNAs have two regions of fundamental functional importance: the anti-codon, which is responsible for specific mRNA codon recognition, and the 3' end, to which the tRNAs corresponding amino acid is attached (by aminoacyl-tRNA synthetases). tRNAs cope with the degeneracy of the genetic code in two manners: having more than one tRNA (with a specific anti-codon) for a particular amino acid; and 'wobble' base-pairing, i.e. permitting non-standard base-pairing at the 3rd anti-codon position. Lineage: Bacteria; Bacillati; Cyanobacteriota; Cyanophyceae; Leptolyngbyales; Leptolyngbyaceae. RNAcentral also lists the same sequence under 5 other names. The record is from RNAcentral.
UGGGGAUUGGUGUAACGGUAGCACGACUGACUCUGGAUCAGUUAGUGGAGGUUCGAAUCCUCCAUCCCCAG